CUCUGNUCUGGCGUACUCCGCCAGGCGGGGAACUUAAUGCGUUAUCUGCGGCACCGACGACGUGGAAUGUCGCCAACACCUAGUUCCCAACGUUUACGGCGUGGACUACCAGGGUAUCUAAUCCUGUUCGCUCCCCACGCUUUCGCUCCUCAGCGUCAGUAAUGGCCCAGAGAUCCGCCUUCGCCACCGGUGUUCCUCCUGAUAUCUGCGCAUUUCACCGCUACACCAGGAAUUCCGAUCUCCCCUACCACACUCUAGCUAGCCCGUAUCGAAUGCAGACCCGAGGUUAAGCCUCGGGCUUUCACAUCCGACGUGACAAGCCGCCUACGAGCUCUUUACGCCCAAUAAUUCCGGACAACGCUUGCGCCCUACGUAUUACCGCGGCUGCUGGCACGUAGUUAGCCGGCGCUUCUUCUGCAGGUACCGUCACUUUCGCUUCUUCCCUGCUGAAAGAGGUUUACAACCCGAAGGCCGUCAUCCCUCACGCGGCGUCGCUGCAUCAGGCUUUCGCCCAUUGUGCAAUAUUCCCCACUGCUGCCUCCCGUAGGAGUCUGGGCCGUGUCUCAGUCCCAGUGUGGCCGGUCGCCCUCUCAGGCCGGCUACCCGUCGUCGCCUUGGUGGGCCAUUACCCCACCAACAAGCUGAUAGGCCGCGGGCUCAUCCUUCACCGCCGGAGCCUUCAAACCCCCGCCCAUGCGGGGCAGGAGUGGUAUUCCGGUAUUAGACCCCGUUUUCCAGGGGCUGGUUCCAAGAAGUGAAGGGGCAGAAUUGCCCCACCGUGUUUACCUCACCCCGUUUCGCCCACCUAAUUUCACCCCCCGAAAGGGGCCUUCAUUCCGUUCGACUUUGCAUUGUGUUUAAGCACCGCCCC
Molecule: ribosomal RNA, 871 nt
Filed under: Streptomyces lavendulae
Lineage: Bacteria; Bacillati; Actinomycetota; Actinomycetes; Kitasatosporales; Streptomycetaceae
Description: partial 16S ribosomal RNA
Source: RNAcentral